RNAcentral lists this ribosomal RNA (253 nucleotides) under uncultured bacterium. RNAcentral describes it as "partial 16S ribosomal RNA". It matches the Rfam family "Bacterial small subunit ribosomal RNA", at positions 524 to 776 of the family's 1533-position model. The record is from RNAcentral.
UACAGAGACUGCAAGCGUUAUUCGGAUUCACUGGGCGUAAAGGGUGCGCAGGCGGUUGGGUGUGUCAGAUGUGAAAUCCCGAGGCUUAACCUCGGAACUGCGUCUGAAACUACUCGACUAGAGUACUGGAGAGGGUAACGGAAUUCACGGUGUAGUGGUGAAAUGCGUAGAUAUCGGGAGGAACACCAGUGGCGAAGGCGACUACCUGGCCUGUUCUUGACGCUGAGGCGCGAAAGCUAGGGGAGCAAACGGG